CACCGGCGGCUCGAGUGGUGGCCACUUUUAUUGGGUCUAAAGCGUCCGUAGCCGGCUUGGCAAGUCCCCUGGGAAAUCUGGCGGCUUAACCGUCAGGCGUCCAGAGGAUACUGCCAGGCUUGGGACCGGGAGAGGUGAGAGGUACCUCAGGGGUAGGGGUGAAAUCUUGUGAUCCCUGAGGGACCACCAGUGGCGAAGGCGGCCACCUGGACAGGUAUCGACGCUGAGGCGCGAAAGUGUGGGGAGCAAACAGG
This 254-nucleotide ribosomal RNA is filed under the name uncultured microorganism. RNAcentral describes it as "partial 16S ribosomal RNA". It matches the Rfam family "Archaeal small subunit ribosomal RNA", at positions 474 to 727 of the family's 1478-position model. The record is from RNAcentral.